CUUUAGAAUCAGUCCUAGCAGAAAUAGAUAACCAAAAAAUCUAUGAGAAACAAUUCCAUACAGUAUGCCCCCCAAAUGAAACGACACUGGCUUCCUGGGAGAGGUGGGAGACAUGGAGACGGGAGCACACACCAUAACGACUACCUACCACAUCCCUCCUGUAACACAGAGUGACUGGGAGAGAGAAAAUAUGGAGGGCUGGGUAUAUAGAUAGAGGAUACUGGUCUAGACACAACGAG
This is a non-coding RNA of Pelobates cultripes (western spadefoot toad), 239 nucleotides long. NCBI's taxonomy places the organism in Eukaryota, Metazoa, Chordata, Amphibia, Anura, Pelobatidae. The record is from the annotation of a GenBank genome assembly.